Molecule: ribosomal RNA, 652 nt
Filed under: Rhodopseudomonas palustris
Lineage: Bacteria; Pseudomonadati; Pseudomonadota; Alphaproteobacteria; Hyphomicrobiales; Nitrobacteraceae
Description: bacterial SSU rRNA
Rfam family: Bacterial small subunit ribosomal RNA
Source: RNAcentral
CGGGCGUAGCAAUACGUCAGUGGCAGACGGGUGAGUAACGCGUGGGAACGUACCUUUUGGUUCGGAACAACUGAGGGAAACUUCAGCUAAUACCGGAUAAGCCCUUACGGGGAAAGAUUUAUCGCCGAAAGAUCGGCCCGCGUCUGAUUAGCUAGUUGGUGGGGUAAUGGCCCACCAAGGCGACGAUCAGUAGCUGGUCUGAGAGGAUGAUCAGCCACAUUGGGACUGAGACACGGCCCAAACUCCUACGGGAGGCAGCAGUGGGGAAUAUUGGACAAUGGGCGCAAGCCUGAUCCAGCCAUGCCGCGUGAGUGAUGAAGGCCCUAGGGUUGUAAAGCUCUUUUGUGCGGGAAGAUAAUGACGGUACCGCAAGAAUAAGCCCCGGCUAACUUCGUGCCAGCAGCCGCGGUAAUACGAAGGGGGCUAGCGUUGCUCGGAAUCACUGGGCGUAAAGGGUGCGUAGGCGGGUUUCUAAGUCAGAGGUGAAAGCCUGGAGCUCAACUCCAGAACUGCCUUUGAUACUGGAAGUCUUGAGUAUGGCAGAGGUGAGUGGAACUGCGAGUGUAGAGGUGAAAUUCGUAGAUAUUCGCAAGAACACCAGUGGCGAAGGCGGCUCACUGGGCCAUUACUGACGCUGAGGCACGAAAGCGUG